This 73-nucleotide transfer RNA is filed under the name Mus musculus (house mouse). RNAcentral describes it as "tRNA-Ala". Lineage: Eukaryota; Metazoa; Chordata; Mammalia; Rodentia; Muridae. The record is from RNAcentral.
GGGGAGAUGGCUCAGCGGCAGAGUGCUUGCUGUGCAAGCCUUAGGGCCUGAGUUUGGAUCCCCAGUCCCCUCA